This 465-nucleotide ribosomal RNA is filed under the name uncultured bacterium. RNAcentral describes it as "partial 16S ribosomal RNA". It matches the Rfam family "Bacterial small subunit ribosomal RNA", at positions 339 to 795 of the family's 1533-position model. The record is from RNAcentral.
CUACGGGUUGCUCCAGUGGGGAAUAUUGGACAAUGGGGGAAACCCUGAUCCAGCAAUGCCGCGUGUGUGAAGAAGGCCUGCGGGUUGUAAAGCACUUUCGGUUGGGAGGGCUGCUUCUAGCACUAAUAUUGUUGGAAGUUGACGUUACCUUCAGAAGAAGCACCGGCUAACUCCGUGCCAGCAGCCGCGGUAAUACGGAGGGUGCAAGCGUUAAUCGGAAUUACUGGGCGUAAAGCGCGCGUAGGCGGCUAGAUCAGUCGGGUGUGAAAGCCCCGGGCUUAACCUGGGAACUGCAUCCGAUACUGUCUAGCUUGAGUACAGGAGAGGAGAGUGGAAUUCCACAUGUAGCGGUGAAAUGCGUAGAUAUGUGGAGGAACACCAAUGGCGAAGGCAGCUCUCUGGCCUGAUACUGACGCUGAGGUGCGAAAGCGUGGGGAGCAGACAGGAUUAGAUACCCGAGUAGUC